UACAGAGGGGGCAAGCGUUGUUCGGAAUUACUGGGCGUAAAGGGCGCGUAGGCGGCCCGCUAAGUCGAACGUGAAAUCCCCGGGCUCAACCCGGGAACUGCGUCCGAUACUGGCGGGCUUGAAUCCGGGAGAGGGAUGCGGAAUUCCAGGUGUAGCGGUGAAAUGCGUAGAUAUCUGGAGGAACACCGGUGGCGAAGGCGGCAUCCUGGACCGGCAUUGACGCUGAGGCGCGAAAGCCAGGGGAGCAAACGGG
RNAcentral lists this ribosomal RNA (253 nucleotides) under uncultured bacterium. RNAcentral describes it as "partial 16S ribosomal RNA". It matches the Rfam family "Bacterial small subunit ribosomal RNA", at positions 524 to 776 of the family's 1533-position model. The record is from RNAcentral.